Molecule: non-coding RNA, 66 nt
Organism: Podarcis lilfordi (Lilford's wall lizard)
Lineage: Eukaryota; Metazoa; Chordata; Lepidosauria; Squamata; Lacertidae
Source: the annotation of a GenBank genome assembly
GAGCUCCGUUGGUAUAGUUUGAGACUUUUAAUCUCAGGGUAAUGGGUUCAAGUCCCACAUUGGGCA